GUAUCGGAAGGUGCGGCUGGAUCACCUCCUUUUGAGCAUGACGUCAUCGUCCUGUCGGGCGUCCUCACAAAUUACCUGCAUUCAGAGAUGCGUAUCGGCACAGGCCGGUAUGCGAAAGUCCCAUCAUGGGGCCUUAGCUCAGCUGGGAGAGCACCUGCUUUGCAAGCAGGGGGUCGUCGGUUCGAUCCCGACAGGCUCCACCAUUUGAGUGAAACGACUUUGGGUCUGUAGCUCAGGUGGUUAGAGCGCACCCCUGAUAAGGGUGAGGUCGGUGGUUCGAGUCCUCCCAGACCCACCACUCUGAAUGUAGUGCACACUUAAGAAUUUAUAUGGAUCAGCGUUGAGGCUGAGACAUGUUCUUUUAUAACUUGUGACGUAGCGAGCGUUUGAGAUAUCUAUCUAAACGUGUCGUUGAGGCUAAGGCGGGGACUUCGAGUCCCUAAAUAAUUGAGUCGUAUGUUCGCGUUGGUGGCUUUGUAGCCCACACAACACGACAUAUGAUCCUGAGGCAACUUGGGGUUAUAUGGUCAAGCGAAUAAGCGCACA
This 546-nucleotide transfer RNA is filed under the name Xanthomonas sp. Its description in RNAcentral is "partial 16S-23S ribosomal RNA intergenic spacer". The stretch from base 222 to 295 matches the Rfam family "tRNA". Lineage: Bacteria; Pseudomonadati; Pseudomonadota; Gammaproteobacteria; Lysobacterales; Lysobacteraceae. The record is from RNAcentral.